CAGAUAGGCUGUUGCUUAGUUUUAAACCCCACACAUGCAUUUAUCUCAUCAAGUACCUUAGCUGCUAUGGGACAUUAUCAAUGUAAAACCAUAUAGAAACAAAUGAGCUCUGAAAAUUUUUUUCUCAGACCUGCUUAAUGACAUUUUCUCUACAAAGUAUGCUAUCAGGGUUAAAACAGAAAAACUGAAAAAGCCAAAUCAAAUGUUGUUCUAUUUUAGGUAAGAUUUAU
RNAcentral lists this long non-coding RNA (230 nucleotides) under Homo sapiens (human). Its description in RNAcentral is "HSALNT0162561". Lineage: Eukaryota; Metazoa; Chordata; Mammalia; Primates; Hominidae. The record is from RNAcentral.